GAAGCUUAGGGAGCAGGGCAUCAGGCACAUAUAAAUACUUUAGACACGGACAACACCUUUGCUUAGCACACCCCCUACGGGACCCCCCAGCAGUGAUUAACAUUAAGCCAUAAGUGCUACACUUAGACUUAGUCAAGGCCAAUAGGGUCGGUAAAACUCGUGCCAGCCACCGCGGUUAUACGAGAGACCCAGCUGAUAAACACCGGCGUAAAGAGUGGUUAAAAGACAAUAAAACUAAAGCUAAACACCUUCAAAACUGUUAUACGUAGCCGAAGGCGGGAGACACCCCUACGAAAGUGGCUUUAAAACCAUGAACCCACGAAAACUAGGACACAAACUGGGAUUAGAUACCCCACUAUGCCUAGCCUUAAACACAAGUGACACCUCCACAACUGCCACUCGCCCGGGGACUACAAGCACUAGCUCAAAACCCAAAGGACUUGGCGGUGCUUUAGACCCACCUAGAGGAGCCCGUUCUAUAACCGACAAUCCCCGUUUAACCUCACCCUUUCUCGCCAUCCCCGCCUAUAUACCGCCGUCGUCAGCUCACCCUGUAAAGGCCCCGUAGUAAGCAUAACUGGUUCAACCCAAUACGUCAGGUCGAGGUGUAGCACACGAGAGGGAAAGAAACGGGCUACACUCCCUGAUACAGGAAAUACAGACGAUAACUUGAAACAAUUAUCUGAAGGUGGAUUUAGUAGUAAGGCGGAAAAUAGAGAUUUCCCCUGAAACCGGCCCUAAAGCGCGCACACACCGCCCGUCGCUCUCCCUGAGCCCAACACAAGCCUUAAACUAUAAAGACACUGCCCCAAAGGGGAGACAAGUCGUAACAUGGUAAGUGUACCGGAAGGUGCCCUUGGAAAAA
RNAcentral lists this non-coding RNA (865 nucleotides) under Odontobutis haifengensis. RNAcentral describes it as "partial 12S ribosomal RNA". It matches the Rfam family "Bacterial small subunit ribosomal RNA", at positions 379 to 1522 of the family's 1533-position model. Lineage: Eukaryota; Metazoa; Chordata; Actinopteri; Gobiiformes; Odontobutidae. The record is from RNAcentral.